Molecule: long non-coding RNA, 1261 nt
Filed under: Anolis carolinensis (green anole)
Lineage: Eukaryota; Metazoa; Chordata; Lepidosauria; Squamata; Anolidae
Description: lncRNA (ENSACAG00000044593.1)
Source: RNAcentral
CCAAGUGGGUAUCUAAGGGCUGCCCCAGAGAACUGUUUAGAAGUUGGAAGGGACCCCCAAAGGCCCUCUAGUCUGACCCAUGGGCCAAAGCCUUUCCCAGCCAUGCCAAUCCCUGUUGUGUCUUUCCAGUUGCCCAAGUUUUGGCUGAAGAUGAUUCCUUGACUCUCCCCGUGGAUGUUGCCAAGGGGAAGACGGGCUUCUUCAGGAAGAUGUUUCACGGUGAGAUGGGCUCCUUCCCCGCUUUCUGGGGACCUGUCCCGUUCAAGAUUUCCAUUGUGACCCCUCUGUUCUCCCUCUGUUCACCAGCGGCCAUACAUCUGGUGUGGAGCGGUUCUGCCAAUGCCACCCAAGUGGCGGCACCCAAGGCCCCGGCGGUGGCAGCGGCGACGACAAGGACACCAUCUCCAACCCAGGCCCAUGUCUGUGCUACCCGCGUCAAAAUGGGGCCGGAGCUGAACUUCUCUCUCCAGCUCCUCAACGAGGACCUCAGUGUCUCGGUGGAACCCGGCGCUUACCUCCAAGGCGAAGCCAUCCGGAUCCAGGCCUCCCUCCAGGCAGAAGCCGGGUUCUUCCCGAAACUGUUCAUAGACAGAUGCUACGUGCUGGACAACCCACAACAGAGCCAGUCCCGGGCACUCUUCUUCAUUGUGGACAACCAUGGGUGAGCUGGGCGGCACUGGGAGGCCACCCUCAGAGCUGGGGCAGGGAGAAAGCAGGCCUCCGAGCUGGAGAAAGGGGACAUUCAUAGAUAUCUUGGAGCUGGAGAAGGGAGAAAGUGGACCUCAGAGCUAUGGAAAGGAGAAAGUAGGCCUUUCUCAGAGCUAGAGAAGGGAAAAAGCAGGAAGUCUUCUUGUAGCAGGAGAAAGGAGGCCUCCUCAGAGCUGGGGAAGGGGGAAGGCAGCAGUCCCAACAGUCUAGUUGGUAUCUAUCAGUAUACGUCUGACCAAUCCCAAGGUUAUCCAUUCAUCCUUUGGACAAAACUGGACUCUCCUGGAGGAUGUCCUUCCCAUUGGGACUCCUUUCUGCUGCUCGGAUGGAUGUCCUUUCCACUUUGGAACCAUUUCUGGGGUGAAGUGACCCCUGGUUUUGCCCCGCAGGUGCCUCUACCCCGGCAACUUGAAGGCGGCCUGGUUCCGUCAAGAGGACCCGGCCGUGGUGCUGACCAUGCAGACCCGCGCUUUCUGGCUGGAUGACAAAACCCCCGAGGUAGGCACGAGGCGGGCAGGUGUCCCUCCCAAUGGGCCGCAGCUCCCCAGACACC